UUUUGAGAUGGAGUCUUGCCCUGUCGCCCAGGCUGGAGUGCAAUGGCGUGAUCUCGGCUCACUGCAACCUCCAUCUCCCAGGUUCAAGCAAUUCUCCUGCCUCCACCUCCCGAGUAGCUGGGAUUACAGGCGUGUGCCACCACGCCCGGCUAACUUUUUGUAUCUUUAGUAGAGAUGGGGUUUCAGCAUCUUGGCCAGGCUGGUCUUGAACUCCUGACCUCGUGAUCCACCUACCUCGGCCUUCCAAAGUGCUGGAAUUAUAGGCGUGAGCCACCAAGCCCGGCCUCCUCUUUAUUUUUUAUUUUGAUUUAUUUAUUUUUGAGAUGGGGGGGGUGUCUCGCUAUGUUGACCAGGCUGGUCUCGAACUCCUGGCCUCAAGCAGUUCUCCCUUCUUGGCCUCCCAAAGUGCUGGGAUUACAGACAUUAGCCACGGCGCCUGGCCUUUUUCUUCUUCUUCUUCUUUGUUGAGACAGGGUCUCAAUCUGUUGCCCAGGCUGGUCUCCAACUCCUGGGCUCAGGUGAUCCUUCCGCCUCGGCCUCCCAAAGUGCUGGGAUUACAGGCGUGAGCCAUUAAGUGUUCCCCUUAAUGACACAGCAGAUGAGAGUUUUACUGAGUAUCUCCUUGUGCCAGGCACCCUGUUGUUGCUGGGGAAGCGGAAGGGAGAGACAAUCGUUAAUCGGCUAAAUUUCUGCCUUCUGAGAGCUCAGAAUCAAGAAAUAAAUAAUAGGGCAGUAAAAGGGGCUGGGAUUACAUACAAAAAGAAAAUUAAUGCCUGAACUUUUUACAAUCUGCUCGAUAAGCUUUAAUUCUAUUAACCUAUUUGAGCUUCCCAACAACAGGCAAGCUCCCACAGCAGCUAGGAGGAUCACUUUGUCGUCAUACAAAUAGAAACAGGCUCAGAGAGGAAGUCAUUUGUUCUAGUUCUCACUAGGACAAAUCUACUGGCUACUAAAAAAGUGUGAAGGCUGGGGACAGUUUGAGUCGUCCUGCUUGCACCUUAAGCGCCUACAAGAGUGCCCGGCUAUAACAACCACAAUACCAAUAAUAAAAUUUAAAAACAGAUGUUCAGUAAGGACUUGCGGCAUUAGGACCCCAGGAGGGAAGUGACGUUCGAGGAGGCGGAGAAAGCCGCGAAGACGGCCUUCCCCACAUCUUCCAGCACCUGCGCGCCUGAAUCCGUCCCACCCAGGCCCAGACGCAGGCUUCUUCUCGGGUCUUGGUCCUGCAUCCUCUCUCUCCCAGAGCCUCCGUUAGGGGGUGGGAAAGGACUUUGCCAUAGGUCGCUGAGGCCACCAUCUGCUCUCUUACUGGCCAAGGGCGUAAAAAGAUAGUCUUCCCAUUAGCUAGAGAGCAAACCCCAGAAAGCCUAUUGGCUGCGCCGUCCGCGGGCCUUGGUCCGCUUUGAAGGCGGGCUGCGGCUGCGAGAGGAGGGCGGGCGGGAGGCUAGCUGUUGUCGUGGUUGCUCGGAGGCACGUGUGCAGUCCCGGAAGCGGCGAGGGGAAACUGCUCCGCGCGCGCCGCGGGAGGAGGAACCGCCCGGUCCUUUAGGGUCCGGGCCCGGCCGGGCCAUGGAUUCAAUGCCUGAGCCCGCGUCCCGCUGUCUUCUGCUUCUUCCCUUGCUGCUGCUGCUGCUGCUGCUGCUGCCGGCCCCGGAGCUGGGCCCGAGCCAGGCCGGAGCUGAGGAGAACGACUGGGUUCGCCUGCCCAGCAAAUGCGAAGGCUUGCGCCGGGACGCUGCGGCGGACGAGAGAUCUGGUCCCGGUACCCCUGGAGUUCACACAUUGUGUGUAAAUAUGUUGCUGUGGAGCUGAAGUCAGCCUUUGAGGAAACCGGCAAGACCAAGGAGGUGAUUGGCACGGGCUAUGGCAUCCUGGACCAGAAGGCCUCUGGAGUCAAAUACACCAAGUCCAUUUCAGAUCCCCCAGACCAGAUGACCUAUCUUCCUUCCAGCUCUGAGUCACUUCCCAUUGGGACUUGCGGUUAAUCGAAGUCACUGAGACCAUUUGCAAGAGGCUCCUGGAUUAUAGCCUGCACAAGGAGAGGACCGGCAGCAAUCGAUUUGCCAAGGGCAUGUCAGAGACCUUUGAGACAUUACACAACCUGGUACACAAAGGGGUCAAGGUGGUGAUGGACAUCCCCUAUGAGCUGUGGAACGAGACUUCUGCAGAGGUGGCUGACCUCAAGAAGCAGUGUGAUGUGCUGGUGGAAGAGUUUGAGGAGGUGAUCGAGGACUGGUACAGGAACCACCAGGAGGAAGACCUGACUGAAUUCCUCUUCUGCCAAGGAAAGACACAAGCCCCAGGAAGAACUCAGAGCCGUCAUGGGUAGCCCACGCCGUCCUUUCCCCUCCCCAAGUGUUUCUCUCCUGACCCAGGGUUCAGGCAGGCCUUGUGGUUUCAGGACUGCAAGGACUCCAGUGUGAACUCAGGAGGGGCAGGUGUCAGAACUGGGCACCAGGACUGGAGCCCCCUCCGGAGACCAAACUCACCAUCCCUCAGUCCUCCCCAACAGGGUACUAGGACUGCAGCCCCCUGUAGCUCCUCUCUGCUUACCCCUCCUGUGGACACCUUGCACUCUGCCUGGCCCUUCCCAGAGCCCAAAGAGUAAAAAUGUUCUGGUUCUG
Molecule: long non-coding RNA, 2624 nt
Filed under: Homo sapiens (human)
Lineage: Eukaryota; Metazoa; Chordata; Mammalia; Primates; Hominidae
Description: long non-coding RNA NONHSAT112854.2
Source: RNAcentral